GUUCAUUUCUCUGACCUCGCCUAAAGUCUGUCUCAUGGAAAGAGGAUUAAAAGGACAAUCAGCCAAGAGCUGUUGCUUACUUAUUAUUCAGAAUGGACGGAACAGAAACAAGGUGACUUCACUCUUCCGACCCUGCAAAGCCCACUCUUACCAUAUGCAUUGUCUGUGGGCAAAGUCAAAGAAGAAAACAAAGGCAAAUAAAUUAUUCUAACCCUGACAACCC
RNAcentral lists this long non-coding RNA (223 nucleotides) under Fukomys damarensis (Damara mole-rat). RNAcentral describes it as "lncRNA (ENSFDAG00000028937.1)". Lineage: Eukaryota; Metazoa; Chordata; Mammalia; Rodentia; Bathyergidae. The record is from RNAcentral.